GGCUCCGUAGCUCAGGGGAUAGAGCGGCCGCCUCCUAAGCGGCAGGUCGAUGGUUCGAAUCCAUCCGGGGUCACCA
This 76-nucleotide transfer RNA is filed under the name Rhodobacter sp. RNAcentral's name for it is "tRNA-Arg". It matches the Rfam family "tRNA". Rfam says of the family: Transfer RNA (tRNA) molecules are approximately 80 nucleotides in length. Their secondary structure includes four short double-helical elements and three loops (D, anti-codon, and T loops). Further hydrogen bonds mediate the characteristic L-shaped molecular structure. tRNAs have two regions of fundamental functional importance: the anti-codon, which is responsible for specific mRNA codon recognition, and the 3' end, to which the tRNAs corresponding amino acid is attached (by aminoacyl-tRNA synthetases). tRNAs cope with the degeneracy of the genetic code in two manners: having more than one tRNA (with a specific anti-codon) for a particular amino acid; and 'wobble' base-pairing, i.e. permitting non-standard base-pairing at the 3rd anti-codon position. The record is from RNAcentral. Lineage: Bacteria; Pseudomonadati; Pseudomonadota; Alphaproteobacteria; Rhodobacterales. RNAcentral also lists the same sequence under 10 other names.